GCUUGUCAGUGAUGAGACCACGGAUACUGCGUCAGGCAUGGCGCCCGAUACUUAUGAGGAAUUAUUCCAGCUGCCUUCCUUCUGAGACUACA
Molecule: small nucleolar RNA, 92 nt
Organism: Limanda limanda (common dab)
Lineage: Eukaryota; Metazoa; Chordata; Actinopteri; Pleuronectiformes; Pleuronectidae
Product: small nucleolar RNA U83B
Exons: 1
Source: RefSeq, a predicted model, not a curated record